Molecule: long non-coding RNA, 368 nt
Organism: Apodemus sylvaticus (European woodmouse)
Lineage: Eukaryota; Metazoa; Chordata; Mammalia; Rodentia; Muridae
Exons: 3
Source: RefSeq, a predicted model, not a curated record
CAGGGCAGAUCCUGGAGACCCGUGUCCAGCAAGAGGUCCCGUCCGAAUGGGAUAGCUGGGGGCUUGGAGCCUCCAUCACCGCCCCAUUCUUCUGACUUCCGGGAUCCCACCCACCGUCCUAACCUGCUCCCCAGAGCAAGCGCCUUCUUCCUUCACCCUGCAAGUUAUUCCUGUGCCCCAGCACUGCAACAUGAACCAGUAAAUGAGACAAUACUAGCAAGGAGGAGAAGGGGGCAUUAGUUCACGAUCAGCUAGCUGGGGAAAGAAGGAAAGACAAAGAGGUGAGGACCGGAUACACUCUUGAAAGUUACAUCGAACAGAUCACCUGGAAGGAGAACUGGGGAUGAAAUAGGAUGGGCCACUGCAAG